GAUCUGACUGAUAUCAAGUGGAGAAAAGGAAAAUUAUUAGUUUCAAACAGCAAAUCAGUUAGACCAGAAUUUAUUCAAAAAUUUCAUCUGAAUGCCACCGAUAGCUCCUUAAUUAUUAAAAACCUAACUAUGAAUGACAGCGACCAUUAUCGAGCUGAAGCUGGAGAAUGGGAGAAGACAAUCUUGGACUAUCAUCUAAUAGUUGAAAAUGUGAUUAAGGUGGAGAUUAAGAGUGAACAGACUUGGAAAGCAGCUACAAACAGCUGUGAUGUUUCUCUUCUGUGUCGAGCGUCUGAAGAUCAGACAGUGUCCUACAGAUGGAGGGGUUUUAAGGAGGAGGAUGGAGCUCAGCUGAAUUUCACUCUCACACCAGAAGAUGGAGACGUUACUCUGAACUGCACUGCAAUUGGCAGAUUUGUGCAAGGCUCUAACACGACCACAGUGAAAUGUACUCCAGAAGAGACUCCUACAGGUAAUCUCACUUAGUGAGACUACAGUUAUACUGUGAUAAUAAUAUUAAGUGGUUUGAGCAUAACUGCUCCUACACAAACUCUUAAGCACAACAAGUGAUUUAUAAUGUAGUAAUAGCUUAAAGGCUUAAAAAACACAUUACAAAGAUAUUAUUAUUUACAGGAGCUCCAUUCUCAGUGCUCCAUCUGCUCAGUUUUUUAACGGCAGCGUCUCCAUAUCUGCUGUCCACCAUCAUACUGGGGGUGAAAAGCUACAGAGCUCGAGGUGAGAUCUCUUAGUCUUCCUUUAUAUCCUUAAUAAUUAACACACUUUAAGCCUCAUUGAGAUGCAGAUUUCUAUAUUACACUGAAACUGAACAUAACACUUAAAUAUAUGUUCAUUAUUGUGUGUUUUACAGCUGAAGCUGAUGAUGUGAACAUGGUGUGUGAAGUGAGAGAAGCUGAAGAAUGAUGAUAAAUGACUUCAGCCACCAUGAAAGGUGUAAAUGAAGGAAAGAAAUUUCAUUUUAAUUCAAUUAGCAAAAAAAAAUAUGUAAAAAAAAAAUAAUAAACAGCUUGUUUUGUGCUUUUUUUGUUUCUGU
RNAcentral lists this long non-coding RNA (1051 nucleotides) under Astyanax mexicanus (Mexican tetra). Its description in RNAcentral is "lncRNA (ENSAMXG00005009752.1)". The record is from RNAcentral. Lineage: Eukaryota; Metazoa; Chordata; Actinopteri; Characiformes; Acestrorhamphidae.